This is a long non-coding RNA of Apis cerana (Asiatic honeybee), 1223 nucleotides long. RefSeq lists it as uncharacterized. Lineage: Eukaryota; Metazoa; Arthropoda; Insecta; Hymenoptera; Apidae. The record is from RefSeq and is a predicted model, not a curated record.
CAUUCAUUUCUUUCCUGUUAUAAAUUCUUAUUAUUCUAUCUUACUAUUAUAAUAUCGGAAAUAGUAUUUAUUUAGUUAUUGCUUUGUAUCGUUAUAUAUAAAAAUAGUCAACAAUCUAGUGGGAAGUUUAAAAAACUACAGGGAGAAAGCAAAACUCGUUUCAAUUUCUUUCAGAAAAUUUGCCAGGUGUCGCAACGUCCUCUCACGUAAUAACUAAGCAGAUAUAUUGCCGCGUGAUUGCUAGAGCAUGCAGAAAUCAGCAUAUCCAAAUGUAUCGAAGAAAUCACCGAUCUUUGAUUAUUUUCGAUAAUCAAAUGUUUUGAAGCCUGUCGAUCGUUCAAGGACAUUGCAUUUCAAGAUUCGAAUCGGCAAUCAGGAGAAGGAUCCAAGAUUCGUUUCUUCCGGUUGUGAAUAUUCUCGAGAAACGAUUGACAUUAAUAUGCGUUUCGAAUCGUGCAUCGAAUUAAAAGAAUACAAAAAAUGAUCCUUUGUUUUAAAUUUACUAGUUUCGGUGAUAACAUUUAAUUUUAAAAAAAUUAUUUCCCAAUUUAGAAACAAACUCAUUUCUUUGAUUCGAUUUUAUCGAUGAUGAAUAUUUAAAUUCACGAUAAUUAUUUUGUAAAAUUAAGGACCAACUGUUAUUUAUUUCCUGAUUUAUUUCUAUGACAAUAUUGAAUUUUACGAUUUUUAAUUAUUUAUAAACUAAGAACCAAUUUAUUCCUUAUUUUCCACUUUAAUUUGAUUUAUCGAUGAUAAUAUUUAAUUUCACGAUGAUUAUUUAGUAAUUUAAAGAUCAACUUUUUUUUAUUUUUCGACUCGAUUUAUUGAUAUUUAAUUUUAUAACAAUUAUUUAAUAAUUUAGAAACCAAUUUAAUUCUUAAUUCUCUCUCUAGUUCGAUUCCGUUUAUCGCGUAUCAAAUAAAAAAAAAAUACAAGAAAUAAUAUUUCCUUCAUUAUAAGGAUGUAAUAAAUAUUCGAUAAUAUUAUUCAAUCUCAUGAUAAUUAUUUCACAAUAUUAAUUUUUUGCUUCAUAUUCAUUUCUUAUAUUUUUUUUUUUUUAUGUAUAUGAGAAUACAAAAAAAUUCUCUGUGACUUUUUACUUAAUAACUUAGUAACUUUUUAACUUUAUAUACUCCAUUUUAUAUAUUUAUAUAGUUUUUGUAUAUUUUAAGUUGACGCAAUUAUACAUUGAUAAUAAUAAAUUGUGUGGAAAGUGAAGAAAA